AUGGCGCUGGAGCGGGGGACCUAUACUCCGCCGUUACGGCUUGAGAGCUUAAUAGCCUCCUGGCUGUAACGAGUAGGAGGGUUGUAACGGUUUGCGUUGAAGGCUUUGGGCGUGAGCCCGGCUGGAGCUUCCGUUAGUGCAGAUCUUGGUGGUAGUAGCAAAUAUUCAAGUGAGAUCCUUGAAGACUGAAGUGGAGAAGGGUUCCACGUGAACAGCAGUUGAAUGUGGGUCAGUCGGUCCUAAGCCAUCGGCUAAUGCCGUCAUAAACGAGGGUAGAGCUUCUUGUAAGCUUCUGCUCGGUUGGCGAAAGGGAAGUGGGUUAAUAUUCCCACACCAGGACACGGAGAUGACUGUUCUUUGAGCAGUCAAGGGCGGCAACGCAAACGAAGUGGAUUACGCUGCAUGAAGUCCGAGCCAGAGUUCUCUUUUCUGGUUUAGAGGUCUAAUCCCUGGAAAGGGUUCAGCCCAAGAUAGGGACGUUGGCCUCGUAAAGCACCGCGGUUCCUGUGGUGUCUCGUGCGCUUCAUGUGGUCCUUGAAACAUCCACGGAGCCUUAAUGAAUUUCGUGCCUGGCCGUACCGAUAUCCGCAGCAGGUCUCCAAGGUGAACAGCCUCUAGUCGAUAGAAUAAUGUAGGUAAGGGAAGUCGGCAAAUUAGAUCCGUAACUUCGGGAAAAGGAUUGGCUCUAAGGGUUGGGCCGGUAGGGCUGUUGUGCAAAACUUGCGGGCUUUGCCCAUGGCUGCCGGAGGCUUCGGUCGAAGGCGGACUAGCGGUAAGGCCUGCUUGUGGAGCGCUUCAGCUGCGUACUAGUUUCGGCUAGUACUUCUGCCGGCAAUAAACAACCGACUUAGAACUGGCACGGACUCGGGGAAUCCGACUGUCUAAUUAAAACAGAGGAGACGGAUGGUCCUUGCGGACGUUGACCGUCUCUGAUUUCUGCCCAGUGCUCUGAAUGUUAACUUAAGGAAACUUAAUUAAGCGCGGGUAAACGGCGGGAGUAACUAUGACUCUCUUAAGGUAGCCAAAUGCCUCGUCAUCUAAUUAGUGACGCGCAUGAAUGGAUUAACGAGAUUCCCACUGUCCCUAUCUACUAUCUAGCGAAACCACAGCCAAGGGAACGGGCUUGGCAAAUACAGCGGGGAAAGAAGACCCUGUUGAGCUUGACUCUAGUCUGACUUUGUGAAGAAUCAUGAGAGGUGUAGCAUAAGUGGGAGACUUCGGUCGCCAGUGAAAUACCACUACUUUCAUCGAUUCCUUACUUAUUCGGUAAGACGGGAAUUGAACUUCAAUGUUCUUGAUUUUGGUGUUAAGGAUACCCACUUGGUGGGCGUCCGACCCGCGCCGACGACCGAGUCAGGCGGGGAGUUUGACUGGGGCGGUACAUCUGUCAAAUCGUAACGCAGGUGUCCUAAGGCGAGCUCAGAGAGGACGGAAACCUCUCGUAGAGUAAAAGGGCAAAAGCUCACUUGAUCUUGAUUUUCAGUACGAAUACAGACCGCGAAAGCGUGGCCUAUCGAUCCUUUUGAAUUAGAAAGUUUCUAGCAAGAGGUGUCAGAAAAGUUACCACAGGGAUAACUGGCUUGUGGCAGCCAA
This 1593-nucleotide ribosomal RNA is filed under the name Cervidellus alutus. RNAcentral's name for it is "eukaryotic LSU rRNA". It matches the Rfam family "Eukaryotic large subunit ribosomal RNA", at positions 1322 to 2847 of the family's 3401-position model. The record is from RNAcentral. Lineage: Eukaryota; Metazoa; Nematoda; Chromadorea; Rhabditida; Cephalobidae.